GACGAACGCUGGCGGCGUGCUUAACACAUGCAAGUCGAACGGAAAGGCCCUGCUUUUGUGGGGUGCUCGAGUGGCGAACGGGUGAGUAACACGUGAGUAAACUGCCCCUGACUUUGGGAUAACUUCAGGAAACUGGGGCUAAUACCGGAUAGGUGCUCCUGCUGCAUUGUGGGGGUUGGAAAGUUUCGGCGGUUGGGGAUGGACUCGCGGCUUAUCAGCGUGUUGGUGGGGUAGUGGCUUACCAAGGCUUUGCCGGGUAGCCGGCCUGAGAGUGUGACCGGCCACAUUGGGACUGGGAUACGGACCAGACUCCUACGGGAGGCAGCAGUGGGGAAUAUGACACUAUGGGCGGAAGCCUGAGGCAGAAACGCCGCGGGCGGGAGGACGGCCUUCGGGUUAUAGUCCUCUUUCUCCUUUGACGAAGCGUGAGUGACGGUAAUGGGUAGAGAAACACCGGCUAACUACGGU
This 468-nucleotide ribosomal RNA is filed under the name uncultured bacterium. RNAcentral describes it as "partial 16S ribosomal RNA". It matches the Rfam family "Bacterial small subunit ribosomal RNA", at positions 28 to 507 of the family's 1533-position model. The record is from RNAcentral.